AAGGAGCACCACGAUAAACAUUCCCAAUUGGUGGGGAUGUAGCCGUGAGGAGCCUGGUCGCUGUAGUGGCGCCGGCUUGGUGCACAACAAACUUUUGAGAUGGUGUGGGAAACACUGUUUUGAGGAACUGCCAGACACACUAUUGGGCUUUGAGACAACAGGCCCGCAGUCCUGUCCCGUUGGGGGCAGGGGGUGUGUUGUUGCCUCACUUUGGUGGUGGGGUGUGGUGUUUGAUUUGUGGAUAGUGGUUGCGAGCAUC
RNAcentral lists this unclassified non-coding RNA (259 nucleotides) under Mycolicibacterium peregrinum. RNAcentral's name for it is "partial 16S-23S ribosomal RNA intergenic spacer". Lineage: Bacteria; Bacillati; Actinomycetota; Actinomycetes; Mycobacteriales; Mycobacteriaceae. The record is from RNAcentral.